GGAGCCAGAGCUACCAAAAGCACAUCACCCUGAAGAUUUGCAGAGCCAUCUCCGUGAGCGGAGGGCCGGAGGGUCGGAGAGAUGCUGGUGUUGGACUUGGGCGUAUGGUUCAUCCCACUGACGCUCGUCCUCGUCCCGUGCCGCCGGAUCGUGCUUCUCCUGUCCAGGCUCGAGGAGCUCCGCCGGAUCAUGGCGCGGCCGAGGCUCGCCACCGCGGACAUCUGGACCCGCUUCGCCACCCUCAACUCCAUGGCUUUCAUGGUGUGAUGGUACACACGCCGCCGCCGCUCCAUCCAUAGCUGUUUCCUCAUUGGUUGGGUGUGCUUUGCUGUCCUGGUUUUUGGCUUAUCACAAUAAGCCCCAGCUUCUGGGAAUGGGAUGU
RNAcentral lists this long non-coding RNA (382 nucleotides) under Setaria viridis. RNAcentral describes it as "long non-coding RNA (SVIR_LNC011159)". The record is from RNAcentral. Lineage: Eukaryota; Viridiplantae; Streptophyta; Magnoliopsida; Poales; Poaceae.